Molecule: ribosomal RNA, 446 nt
Filed under: uncultured bacterium
Lineage: Bacteria
Description: SSU rRNA
Rfam family: Bacterial small subunit ribosomal RNA
Source: RNAcentral
AGAGCGAACGCUGGCGGCAGGCUUAACACAUGCAAGUCGAACGGAUCCUUCGGGAUUAGUGGCGGACGGGUGAGUAACACGUGGGAACGUGCCUUUAGGUUCGGAACAACACAGGGAAACUUGUGCUAAUACCGGAUGUGCCCUUCGGGGGAAAGAUUUAUCGCCUUUAGAGCGGCCCGCGUCUGAUUAGCUUGUUGGUGAGGUAAAGGCUCACCAAGGCUACGAUCAGUAGCUGGUCUGAGAGGAUGGCCAGCCACAUUGGGACUGAGACACGGCCCAAACUCCUACGGGAGGCAGCAGUGGGGAAUCUUGCGCAAUGGGGGAAACCCUGACGCAGCCAUGCCGCGUGGAUGAUGAAGGUCUUAGGAUUGUAAAAUCCUUUCAGCGGGGACGAUAAUGACGGUACCCGCAGAAGAAGCCCCGGCUAACUUCGUGCCAGCAGCCGC